This 526-nucleotide ribosomal RNA is filed under the name uncultured bacterium. RNAcentral describes it as "bacterial SSU rRNA". It matches the Rfam family "Bacterial small subunit ribosomal RNA", at positions 777 to 1296 of the family's 1533-position model. The record is from RNAcentral.
AAUAGAUACCCUGGUAGUCCUAGCCGUAAACGAUGAGCACUGGGUUGAAGGGUCCUCCAUAGCCUUUCAGCCGCAGCGAAAGUGUUAAGUGCUCCGCCUGGGGAGUAUGGUCGCAAGGCUGAAACUCAAAGAAAUUGACGGGGGCUCACACAAGCGGUGGAGGAUGUGGCUUAAUUCGAGGCUACGCGAAGAACCUUAUCCUAGUCUUGACAUGCACGGAUUAACUCCCUGAAAGGGGAGCCAGGCCUUCGGGUACAACGUGCACAGGUGCUGCAUGGCUGUCGUCAGCUCGUGCUGUGAAGUGUCGGGUUAAGUCCCUUAACGAGCGAAACCCUUGUCGCUAGUUGCCAGCGAGUAAUGUCGGGGACUCUAGCGAGACCGCCGGCGUUAAGCCGGAGGAAGGCGGGGAUGACGUCAAGUCCUCAUGGCCUUUAUGACUAGGGCUGCACACGUCCUACAAUGGCGCGCACAAAGGGAUGCAAAAUCGCGAGAUCAAGCAAAUCCCAAAAAACGCGCCCCAGUUCGG